GACGAACGCUGGCGGCGUGCCUAAUACAUGCAAGUCGAGCGCAGGAAAUCGACGGAACCCUUCGGGGGGAAGUCGACGGAAUGAGCGGCGGACGGGUGAGUAACACGUAAAGAACCUGCCCCCAGGUCUGGGAUAACCACGAGAAAUCGGGGCUAAUACCGGAUGGGUCAUCGGACCGCAUGGUCCGAGGAUGAAAGGCGCUUCGGCGUCGCCUGGGGAUGGCUUUGCGGUGCAUUAGCUAGUUGGUGGGGUAAUGGCCCACCAAGGCGACGAUGCAGAGCCGACCUGAGAGGGUGAUCGGCCAGACUGGGACUGAGACACGGCCCAGACUCCUACGGGAGGCAGCAGUAGGGAAUCUUCCACAAUGGACGAAAGUCUGAUGGGGCAACGCCGCGUGAACGAUGAAGGCCUUCGGGUCGUAAAGUUCUGUUGUAAGGGAAGAACAAGUGCCGCAGGCAAUGGCGGCACCUUGACGGUACCUUGCGAGAAAGCCACGGCUAACUACGUGCCAGCCGCCGCAGUAA
This 524-nucleotide ribosomal RNA is filed under the name uncultured bacterium. RNAcentral describes it as "partial 16S ribosomal RNA". It matches the Rfam family "Bacterial small subunit ribosomal RNA", at positions 28 to 523 of the family's 1533-position model. The record is from RNAcentral.